Molecule: ribosomal RNA, 544 nt
Filed under: uncultured bacterium
Lineage: Bacteria
Description: partial 16S ribosomal RNA
Rfam family: Bacterial small subunit ribosomal RNA
Source: RNAcentral
UGGGGAAUUUUGGACAAUGGGCGCAAGCCUGGUCCAGCCAUGCCGCGUGCGGGAAGAAGGCCUUCGGGUUGUAAACCGCUUUUGUCAGGGAAGAAAUCUUCUGAGUUAAUACCUCGGGAGGAUGACGGUACCUGAAGAAUAAGCACCGGCUAACUACGUGCCAGCAGCCGCGGUAAUACGUAGGGUGCAAGCGUUAAUCGGAAUUACUGGGCGUAAAGCGUGCGCAGGCGGUUUUGUAAGACAGAGGUGAAAUCCCCGGGCUCAACCUGGGAACUGCCUUUGUGACUGCAAGGCUUGAGUGCGGCAGAGGGGGGAUGGAAUUCCGCGUGUAGCAGUGAAAUGCGUAGAUAUGCGGAGGAACACCGAUGGCGAAGGCAAUCCCCUGGGCCUGCACUGACGCUCAUGCACGAAAGCGUGGGGAGCAAACAGGAUUAGAUACCCUGGUAGUCCACGCCCUAAAACGAUGUCAAACUGGUUGUUGGGAAGGUUCCUUCUCAGUAACGUAGCUAACGCGUGAAGUUGACCGCCUGGGGAGUACGGCCGC